AGUGAACGCUGGCGGCAGGCCUAACACAUGCAAGUCGAACGGCCGCACAGUAAGCGUUUGCUUUUACGGGUGGCGGGUGGCGGACGGGUGACGAAUAGAUCGGCUUCUUCUUUUUCGUGGGGGACAUCGUAGGGAAACAUCUGCUACUACCUCAUAUGAUCUACGGGUUGAUGCAGGAGUUCAUCACGCUCUGGCUGACACUAUGAGCCGUUGUCGGAUUAGCUAGUUGGCAGGGUAAGGCCCCACCAAGGCAACGAUACGUAGCUGGUCUGAGAGGAUGAUCGGCCACACUGGAACUGGGACACGGUCCAGACUCCUACGGGAGGCAGCAGUGGGGAAUAUUGGGCAAUGGGCGCAAGCCUGACCCAGCAACGCCGCGUGAGUGAUGAAGGCCUUCGGGUCGUAAAGCCCUGUUAUUAGGAAAGAAAAGCUGCGGAAGUAUACGCCGCCAUCCUGACGGUACCCAAAGAGAAAGCAACGGCUAACUACGUG
RNAcentral lists this ribosomal RNA (492 nucleotides) under uncultured bacterium. RNAcentral describes it as "partial 16S ribosomal RNA". It matches the Rfam family "Bacterial small subunit ribosomal RNA", at positions 29 to 507 of the family's 1533-position model. The record is from RNAcentral.